ACGGGUGAGUAACACGUGGGUGAUCUGCCCUGCACUCUGGGAUAAGCCUGGGAAACUGGGUCUAAUACCGGAUAUGACCUCUGGUUGCAUGACCGGGGGUGGAAAGAUUUAUCGGUGCAGGAUGGGCCCGCGGCCUAUCAGCUUGUUGGUGGGGUAAUGGCCUACCAAGGCGACGACGGGUAGCCGGCCUGAGAGGGCGACCGGCCACACUGGGACUGAGACACGGCCCAGACUCCUACGGGAGGCAGCAGUGGGGAAUAUUGCACAAUGGGCGGAAGCCUGAUGCAGCGACGCCGCGUGAGGGAUGACGGCCUUCGGGUUGUAAACCUCUUUCGACAGGGACGAAGCGCAAGUGACGGUACCUGUAGAAGAAGCACCGGCCAACUACGUGCCAGCAGCCGCGGUAAUACGUAGGGUGCGAGCGUUGUCCGGAAUUACUGGGCGUAAAGAGCUUGUAGGCGGCUUGUCGCGUC
RNAcentral lists this ribosomal RNA (473 nucleotides) under Nocardia puris. Its description in RNAcentral is "bacterial SSU rRNA". It matches the Rfam family "Bacterial small subunit ribosomal RNA", at positions 102 to 589 of the family's 1533-position model. The record is from RNAcentral. Lineage: Bacteria; Bacillati; Actinomycetota; Actinomycetes; Mycobacteriales; Nocardiaceae.